UGUAUAUGCAAAGGAACUGGCUCAGAACC
This 29-nucleotide non-coding RNA is filed under the name Rattus norvegicus (Norway rat). The record is from RNAcentral. Lineage: Eukaryota; Metazoa; Chordata; Mammalia; Rodentia; Muridae.